AAGUGCCCUACGCGGCCCCUGCCAGCCUGCAGGGGACAGCGAGCGGCGGCGGCGGCCACCGUCGGGUGCCCCGGGCCGCCCGGCUCAGCUCGGUUCCCGCAGCCGCGCGGCGUCCGCGCAGCGCCCAGCGACCCCUGUCGGGGGUUCCCGGCAGCCCGGCCGGCGCGCAGCGAAGGGGCUGCGCCGGGAGCGCCCAGCCCAGGCUCCUCCCGGUGGCGUGUCCGCGCCUCGGGGUGGGGGUGUGGUGGGGAGAGGGAGGGGGCGAGGCGAGGGGAGGGUGAGAAGGAGGCGCCAGCUCCAACCUGCGGGGGGAGGUGGGUGGCUGUGGGGCAAUUGAAAAAGAGCCGGCGAGGAGUUCCCCCAAACUUGUCGGGACUCCGGGCUCGCGCGGAGGGCAGGAGUGCAGCGACGCGGGACAGGAAUCGCCUCUCCCGCCUUGGCUGCGAGGGCGCCGGCCGUGCGGGACUCAGCGCGACCUCGGGACGCAGCGCCCGCCAGUUCCAGGUGGUCGGGACCGCACGCCGCGCCGCGCCGCUCCGUGCAGGCGACAAGCGACGCCCCGGCUCGGUUAGCGCCCCAGCCCGCCGCCCGCUGCCCCGGAGGGCCAAACUUUCCCCAAACCCUAUCCGAACCCUUGGACCAAACUUGUCGCGCGUCGCCUUCUCCGGGAGCCGUCCGCGUACAGCGCUCACUCCUCCGGCGAGAUGUCCGAGCGCAAAGAAGGCAGAGGCAAGGGAAAGGGCAGGAAGAAGGAGCGAGGCUCGGGCAAGCCCGAGCCCGCAGAGGGCGACUCGCGGCCAGCCUUGCCUCCCCGGUUGAAAGAGAUGAAAAGUCAAGAGUCAGCGGCAGGCUCCAAACUAGUGCUUCGGUGUGAAACCAGUUCUGAAUACUCCGCUCUUAAGUUCAAGUGGUUCAAGAAUGGGAAUGAGUUAAACCGAAAAAACAAACCACAAAACAUCAAGAUACAAAAAAAGCCAGGGUAAGUAUGAUGCAUACAG
Molecule: long non-coding RNA, 998 nt
Filed under: Cavia porcellus (domestic guinea pig)
Lineage: Eukaryota; Metazoa; Chordata; Mammalia; Rodentia; Caviidae
Description: lncRNA (ENSCPOG00000035735.1)
Source: RNAcentral